UCUGGUGCCUCUAGCGAAAGGGAAACACCUCUUCCCAUUCCGAACAGAGCCGUUAAGCCUUUCAGCGCCGAUGGUAGCCUCCGGGCAAGAGUAGGUCGGUGCCAGGA
This 107-nucleotide ribosomal RNA is filed under the name Candidatus Moraniibacteriota bacterium. Lineage: Bacteria; Candidatus Moraniibacteriota. The record is from RNAcentral.